RNAcentral lists this non-coding RNA (28 nucleotides) under Mus musculus (house mouse). Lineage: Eukaryota; Metazoa; Chordata; Mammalia; Rodentia; Muridae. The record is from RNAcentral.
UAACAGGGACCUCAGAGAAAACAAGGGA